GCGGAGGGAUCAUUACCGAGUUAUACAACUCAUCAACCCUGUGAACAUACCUAAAACGUUGCUUCGGCGGGAACAGACGGCCCUGUAACAACGGGCCGCCCCCGCCAGAGGACCCCUAACUCUGUUUUUAUAAUGUUUUUCUGAGUAAACAAGCAAAUAAAUUAAAACUUUCAACAACGGAUCUCUUGGCUCUGGCAUCGAUGAAGAACGCAGCGAAAUGCGAUAAGUAAUGUGAAUUGCAGAAUUCAGUGAAUCAUCGAAUCUUUGAACGCACAUUGCGCCCGCCAGUAUUCUGGCGGGCAUGCCUGUUCGAGCGUCAUUACAACCCUCAGGCCCCCGGGCCUGGCGUUGGGGAUCGGCAGAAGCCCCCUGUGGGCACACGCCGUCCCUCAAAUACAGUGGCGGUCCCGCCGCAGCUUCCAUUGCGUAGUAGCUAACACCUCGCAACUGGAGAGCGGCGCGGCCAUGCCGUAAAACACCCAACUUCUGAAUGUUGACCUCGAAUCAGGUAGGAAUACCCGCUGAACUUAAGCAUAUCAAUAAGCGGAGGA
Molecule: ribosomal RNA, 551 nt
Filed under: Fusarium oxysporum
Lineage: Eukaryota; Fungi; Ascomycota; Sordariomycetes; Hypocreales; Nectriaceae
Description: eukaryotic LSU rRNA
Rfam family: 5.8S ribosomal RNA (bases 166-319)
Source: RNAcentral